CCGACCACAUCACGUUGAAAUACCGGUUCCCGUACGAUCAUCGAACUUAAGCAACGUUGAACCUGGUCAGUACCUAGAUGGGUGACCGCUCGAGAAUACCAGUUGCUGUAAG
Acanthosepion pharaonis is the source of this 112-nucleotide non-coding RNA. The record is from the annotation of a GenBank genome assembly. Lineage: Eukaryota; Metazoa; Mollusca; Cephalopoda; Sepiida; Sepiidae.